AAGAUUUUAAAGGUCGAACAGACCCAAUAAUAACUUUCAGCCCCUACACCAAAAAUUCACCUUAAUCUCAACAUCGAGGUCGCAAACCUCCCUGCCGAUAAGAACUCUCAAGGAAGAUAACG
RNAcentral lists this ribosomal RNA (122 nucleotides) under Coptotermes formosanus (Formosan subterranean termite). Its description in RNAcentral is "partial 16S ribosomal RNA". The record is from RNAcentral. Lineage: Eukaryota; Metazoa; Arthropoda; Insecta; Blattodea; Rhinotermitidae.